GAAUCCUGCGCUGCCGCCGAGAGGUCGCCCUUCAACGAUGUUUACAACGACGAUUGCUUUUUCCUUUCUUUUCACUGUUUUUUCCCUUCAGGGGUUUUCUCAGGAUUAACUUCGCAGUUGAUUUGGAGGACGCUGAACUGAACGAGUGAGUCGUUGCUCAUGUUUUCUGGCUGGCGCUGUACGGAUUGAUUAUUCCUGUUAAGGCCGCGCAUAAAGUGGUAGAAGACUGGCAAUACAUCUUCUAGGAUCGAAUCUGAAUAUGGCUCUCUCCAUAUGAUUCGAGCCUGAGUCCAUAAGCAGGAUACAUCCAACGGCUGGCUUAGGACACGUUUAAAAUGGAACAAUUCCAGUGAUGCACGUUGAAUCCACUCUACUCCCAUACCAUUCAAUGGAAUAUCCCUCACGAUGCACGCAAGAUUAGUUAAUCAAGCUGAUAAUAGUUAGUCAUGUCCCUCCUGACAAGGUUUUAACAUCGAAGACACCGUCUUAAACUAUCCACUUGGUCCUGCAAGAAUGCGCAGAGCUUUAUACCCAUCUACGACUUGAUUGUCAAGUUGCUCGAACCGGUUAAAUACCUUUGCCAAUACAUAUUGCUUCCCUGACUAUCCCAUCAUGGGCAAAGGUUUGCCCAUGAAAUGCCCUCAGCUGAUUUAUCUCAGGUUGGGGGGUAUGCCCGCAAGGAAAACCUCGUAAUAGACUGGGCAGGAAGCGCUGGAUUUCAGCCACCAGGAGUGCUUAAUCAACAAGCCAGCAGAGCAGAGGCGGGCGCUCAAGGCAACAAUUGACGAGGAAACCAUGCCACUUCUGGGCUCGUAGACCAUACAUCACAAUGGACUUUGAUCGUGCCUUGCAUGGACUUUUCACCGCUUCCAGGCUCAGUGUCUUUUUGAGGAUUCCACGUGAUGGCCACUUUAGUUGAAGGGCAUCCGUCAGUGGCUCUUCGUUGAGAACAUUGAUAGGCGAGAGAGCAUUUUUAGGGGAGAGGUGGUUUUAUUUG
RNAcentral lists this small RNA (997 nucleotides) under Histoplasma ohiense. RNAcentral's name for it is "hypothetical lncRNA". Lineage: Eukaryota; Fungi; Ascomycota; Eurotiomycetes; Onygenales; Ajellomycetaceae. The record is from RNAcentral.